Molecule: long non-coding RNA, 202 nt
Filed under: Capsicum annuum
Lineage: Eukaryota; Viridiplantae; Streptophyta; Magnoliopsida; Solanales; Solanaceae
Description: long non-coding RNA (CANN_LNC020459)
Source: RNAcentral
UUAUGGUCGAUCUACUUCAGCCUAUCAAAAGCGAAUUUUUGGGUCAAAUUCAAAUGAUCAUAACUCCUUGUACAUAAUGAUCUUGGUGAGAUACUAUAUAUCAAUGGAAAUAUAUGAGAGUCCUAUUUCUAAUGAAAUUGGUUUCAUCCAAUUUAGAUAUCGGAGUAAAACGUUAUGGUUGAUCUACUUUAGACUUUCAAAA